UUAAUGGGUCACAUUAGCUAUUAAAUUGGUCGAUUUUGAGACAUUUUCGAUAAUUAGAUAAAUAAUAAUAAAAAAUUAUAAAAUUUGAUAUUUAGAUACUUUUACACUACAACAGAAUUAGAUUAUAGGGACACAUGUUUGGGACACUUUUUAGUAAGUGUCCCAUUUAUACUAAAACUUAAAAACACAUCUACUAAUGCUUAAAUAUAAAGCCCAAUCCAACCAAAAAUAAAAGAUUACUCUACUCAACCCACUACACCCUGUCCAUUUGGCCCGAUUACAAACAGAAAAGAAAAAAAAAUAAAGAAAAAUCAAUUACCUUGUUUUUUUCUCUCUUCACUCAAUCCACUGAAAUUCUAGACGAAGAGGCUUUACUGUCGUCCUCCUCCGCCACUGCAGCCAAUGAGAUAGAGUUUCGGCGGUUGCUAAAUACUUAAAUAAGUGUUGGUAAAUUAGCAGCACUCUUUUAGAUUAUAGCGACACUCUUUAGCUGUCACUAUAUACUUAGCGACCCCACAUAUAGCAACACUUUUUAAAAGUGUCGGUAAUUUUAGCUAGCAGCACUUUUUUAACAUGUACCUACAUUUAAAUGUGUCGCUAUAGACCGUUUUUGUUGUAGUGUUAGUAGUUCUAAUCAUACAUUGAUUCGAUGUUCCAUCACUAAAAACAAAGU
Molecule: long non-coding RNA, 673 nt
Filed under: Ananas comosus (pineapple)
Lineage: Eukaryota; Viridiplantae; Streptophyta; Magnoliopsida; Poales; Bromeliaceae
Description: long non-coding RNA (ACOM_LNC019970)
Source: RNAcentral